This 20939-nucleotide long non-coding RNA is filed under the name Triticum aestivum (bread wheat). RNAcentral describes it as "long non-coding RNA (TAES_LNC000931)". Lineage: Eukaryota; Viridiplantae; Streptophyta; Magnoliopsida; Poales; Poaceae. The record is from RNAcentral.
GCAAGGCACCCCUUCCCCCCCUUUGGCCGCCGCCCCCCUUGGAGAUCCCAUCUCCCUGGGCCGGCGCCCCCCCCCCCCCAGGGGGCCUAUAUAAAGGGGGGGAGGGAGGGCAGCAACCUACAGCCUUGGGCGCCUCCCUCCUCCCCUGCAACACCUCUCUCUCUCGCAGAAGCUUGGCGAAGCCCUGCCGGAGACCCGCUACAUCCACCACCACGCCGUCGUGCUGCUGGAUCUCCAUCAACCUCUCCUUCCCCCUUGCUGGAUCAAGAAGGAGGAGACGUCGCUGCACCGUACGUGUGUUGAACGCGGAGGUGCCGUCCGUUCGGCACUCGGUCAUCGGUGAUUUGGAUCACGGCGAGUACGACUCCGUCAUCCACGUUCAUUGGAAGGCUUCCGCUCGCGAUCUACAAGGGUAUGUAGAUGCACUCCUUUCCCCUCGUUGCUAGUAGACUCCAUAGAUGCAUCUUGGUGAGCGUAGGAAAAUUUUAAUUAUGCUACGAUUCCCAACAAGAAGAACGCAGGGUGUGGAGCGGGCGGAAAGUUUAUGGGGAGUGGUGGCAUAGAGGUUGGGAUAGCACAAACAGCCAAACGUGCGAAUGUGGUCGUAGUUGGGAUGAGCACCGUAAAGCAUGAAGUAGGGGGUGUUGUGGUGGAUGGCUCGGGAGGGUCGUAUAUUGAGGAGGUAUGUGGCAGUGUGAAGGGCUUCUACCCAAAAUUUGGGGGGCAUGCUGGCUUGGACAAGGAGUGUGCGAAGUAUGUCGUUUGUGGAGCGGAUGGCGCGCUCAGCUUUCCCGUUUUGUGGUGAUGUGUGCGGGCAGGAGAGGCGUAGGGCAGUGCCAUGUUCACUUAGAGAGGAGCGGAGAGAGAUGUUAAGAAACUCGCCGCCGUUAUCGCACUGGAGGCUCUGGAUGUAGACAUGGAAUUGUGUGAGCACGAAGCCAAAGAAACGUUUGAGAACGUCAGUAGCCUCGGAUUUGGCACGGAGGGGAAAAGUCCAUGCGAAGUGGGAAAAAUCAUCCAUUAUUAUUAAGUAAUAUUUGUAGCCAGAGCAACUAGGGACGGGAGACGUCCAAAGAUCACAGUGUACAAGCUGAAAAGGAAAACUAGUGACAGAGGUAGAAGAAGAAAAAGGCAGGCGCGGCUGCUUCCCUAAUUGGCACGCCUCACAUGAUCCAGAGGCGGCAGGGAGUUUAUUACAAUCUGGAAGAAAAUGUUGUGAUAAACGGGAAAGAGAGGCACUGCCGGGGUGCCCCAAACGGCGAUGCCACAGGUCGCCGGAGUUGGUGUAGAACGCCGAAGAGAUGGAUGCCCCGCUUCUGUAGAGGGGACCGAAACUAGUGCGCCUCAUGAGGGGGGUCCUGGUGGCUAGAUCCUUCACAGAAAAACCGAGGGGGUCAAACUCAACAGAUACAUUAUUAUCAGUGGAUAGUUGACGGACAGAGAGUAGGUUUUGAACAAUAUCGGGUGCCACGAGAACAUUAUGAAGCAGCAAGGGGCGAGAGGAUGUGGGGAUGGAGGCGGUGCCGGUGGCAACUACAGGCAGACGAGUGUCGUCGCCAACGAUGAUGGGAGCAUGCUGUUUUGAGACAGGACGAGAAGUGGCGAGGUUACCUGCAUUACCAGUGACGUGCGAGGAGGCACCGGAAUCAAAGAUCCAGUCACCGUUGCCGUUGCCGGGCUGCUGGAGAGACAGCUGGUUCAUGGCGGAGUAGAGCGCCGCCUGAUCCCAAGAGGGUUGGGGUGGCGCGUUGGGUCCAGCGUACAGCGCGGGGUAGGCAUGCUGGGCAGCACCGGGGCGAGGCCCGAGAACCCCGGCUGCGUUGGGGGGAACCCAGGGAGCGCGCGGCGGCGGGAAGGGCGUCCCCCACGGCGCGAAGUAGCCCAUCCACGGAGUGGAGCCGCCGGGAGAGCAGGCGGACCGCGCCCGCCGUUGUAGCCGCGCCCGCGCCCGCGGCCACGCCCGCGUCCACCGUUGUGCCCGCGGCCGCGGUCACCGGCGCUGCUGUUGCCGCGCUCCAUGGGAGGCUUGCCGCGCUGAGGUGCACGGCCUGGGCAGGUUGGUUGGCGAGGAAGAAUUCGUGAAGUUGGCUCUAGACGCGAUGCGCGGUGUUGCCGGCACCGCGGAUAACCUCGUACAGGCCGUCGGCGAUGGUGGAGUAGAGCAGGAGCAGGAGCGUCAGAUCGGUGUGGUGCCACGCCGGAGUUUGGAGCAGUGGGUCGGAGUAGUGGUCGACAUGGCUCUCGACGGAGUACAUGAGGAGGACGCAGCGCCAGAGUUCACGCCACUUCGAAUAGCUGCCGGUUUGGACAUCCAGCUUGAAGGGGAUGAGGUUGUGGAUGUUGUUGAGGGUGUGGAUGGAGGGGGUGGUGGUGGCAGAGGACGACGCUAUGUCAGGGAGGGUGGGAGGCGACGGCAGGGUCACCAGGCUCAUGGUGCUAGGGGCGGUUGCUGGCGGAGCCGUGAGGACGGGGGUGGAGAGGUCAGAGGAGGGGAGCACAGGAGCGGGAGGGGGAGGGGUGGAGCCCGUCAGGUCGCCGCUCGAAAGGCCGCCGGAGCCGUCGCCAAUGUCCAUGAGAGACAGGGACAGGAAAGAGAGCUCUGAUUACCAAGAUGGAGAAUGAAUACACUGGUGAUUCUCAUUGAUGCCCACGAAGGGGUUAAUAUACAGGUACAGGGGCUGGUAACAACCCAGCUAUACAGGAGGUCAUGCACAUCGUGUAACAGAAAAGGAGGGCACGUCCGGUGCAUGAACUACGUGGGACUCGGUCCUCUAGUUGAGCCAGCAACGGUAGUCUUCCAACAGAUGAGAACACCGAACUGAUUCCUUUAGUUGCUGCCUCUGCAGAUUUGUGUGCCCCCUUUCAGUAGUUCAACCUGGGUAGGAUUUGAACAAAGGUUGAUGUGAAAUAUAGCAAAAAAUGAAACAAGUUAGCAUCAUAUAUAUGGACGAAGGGAGGUAUGGAGUAAUGAAACUGAAACGGAGAGGGCUAAGAAUAGAGAGAUCAACCAGGGGAAUCCGUCGAACAUGUGGUGGCCUGGUGGGCAUCCACACACUACAUGGUGCAUCCUCUACCACCGCACUCCCCUAUGUGCUCACACGCCGCGCUGCCACGGUUGUGUGCAUCAUCAUCGCGUAGAGGAACAACAACACGACCUUUCUGUCUGUGGCUGAAUGAAAGAACGACGGCGACUUCUGUCGCGGAGGAUGGCGCCCCCGGUCCCUGGCGUGCAAAAAGAACAUCGGCGGGGAGUCGGCGGCGCAUAGCCGCACGGAGGGACGGCCACGGGGGUCGCGGAUGAUGGUGCCCCCGGUCCCCGGUGAGCAGAGGAAAAGCGGCGGCGGGUCGGCGGCACAUCGGCCCGUCCCCCCUGUGGCGGAGGUGCUGCUCGGCCGCCGGCGUCAGCCGGGGGCGUGCUGCAGGCUCUGCUCACGGCGGCAUGUCAGCCCCAGAAAAGCGGAGGGUGUCGGGGCCGUGAAGGGGCCGAGCGGCGUCGAGCGCCCGCGAGGGCAGGCGCGGCGGCGGGGUCAGGCGCGGGGCGGCGAGGGCAGUCGCGGGGCGGGGCGGCGAGGGCAGGCGCGGCGGCGUCGGUUGGGCAGAGAACAGGGGCGUGGGGGCAUGGGGCGUGCGGGAAUGCGGGAUUGCAUUUUUUUAAGAGAGUUUCGCUCUGAGGAACAGCAGUGGCAGCUUGUGUGCGUGGGUUGCAGAAUGGAAUGGAGUGUUUCAUAUCGAGAACGCUUGCUGAUACGACAUCAAGUAUUCCCACCGAAUUUCCUCAACAAAAUGCACUACAUGCUAGUCCUAGAUGGUACACUCACAUAAACAAAGCCAAGAUAGUUCUACCCAGCAGCAAAUUACAUCGGCAAACGGUUGCGGGAGCAAGCUUAUCAAAAUGUGACAAUGACCUUGGCCCUGGUAGACGCCCUCGGCAGAGCUAAUAGCUUGGCAAGAACCAUGCUACAUUCCAUUUCACCCUUCCAGUCUAUCUUCAGUUCUUCUAAAGCUGGUGCCCAGCUUAGUAGCUUUGCCACGAAAUCAACUUCGCAGUCCAGACCCCCGAAAUGGUUCACACUAGCCAUUACGAGAUGGUCCAUUUGCAAUUGCAGGUUAAGUCCUUGAAUGCCCACCUGAUCCUCAUCCCGACCAAGGAUGCUCCAAGGAAAACUCUGCAUUUUUUUUCACAACUCGUUAGCCAUAAACACAACGAACAAACAUGGAUCAGGUGAUCGAACAAGGGGGGAGAGUUUACUGGAGGCAUACUUACCCACAUCUCAAGCUUCUUUAAGUUAGGGGCGUUCUGAAACAAUGAACAUGCAGUCAAGACUUGCCUCUGACCCCACAAGCAUAUCAUAAUACGAACACUCUCCAGGUGAGUAGACACGGCAGGGAGCUUCGUAUGUAUGCAUCCUUUUGAUAGAUACUGCAACAAUAAAAUAAUAAUAAUAAUAAUAAUAAUAAUAAUAAUAGAUGGCAACACAGAUUAGUCAGAGGCAGAAGAAGGCCAUAGUAAUGCUGGAGAUAAUAAUAGCUCACCUUUAGGAAAAAACCAUUAAUUGUAAGUGUUUCAAUGACACUUAGGCUACCCAAGGACUGCUUGACAUAGCUUUCCUUGUCAUGCGCAAUUGGAACAGAUUGAUACGCUUUAUCAAGAGAGAGAAAGGCCACCUCCAGAUUAGGUGCGUCCAACUUAAUGUCCUCAAAAUCCCCUUCAACAUAAAGAUAAUCCAGUUUAGGAGCCUUAAUGUUUAGACGGUUGAUGCCCUCAAAAGAAUCUAAUAUCAAAUCAGUCAGUGCGGGGCAGAACGAGAUCAAAUUUUGGAUAUCCUUGUCUGUGGAGGAGAAGAGUUUCAGGGUGAGGUCAGUUAGGCUCUUGAAACCUUGGAAUGCCCGAGGCAAGCUGAUGAUGCAGUUUUCUAGGUGCAGAUACUCCAGAUCACCAAUAGAAAAGAGGCACGAGGGAAUCUUAUACCUUGGCCCCGAGUUCAACUUGAUUAUAACUGAUUUUGGUGAUUUCCUUGACAGCAUGAUCAUCCACCUACCGAACUCAUCAUGGUAAUUUUUGUUACCUGAAAUAUCAAACUCCUCUAUUGUUCCCUUGUGAAGUAAUAGCACCAUAUCGACUAACGUAACGAACUUGGUUCUUGCAAGAUUUCCAUCGCACAGAGAUAUUACUGGCAUGUCAGUCCAUGCAUCCCUCCAAAUACUUGAUAAGGUACUAGUCCUAACCGCUUCUUCGACAUUCAAACGUGAGAGGAUGUCGCCCUUUAUCUCUGGAGGUAGAUUGCUAAGUCUGUCUGUACUCACAACUGAUGCAGCUUCCGCCCUGGCCUUUUUACAGGUACUCAUUGCUUCAGAAUCCAUAUUAAACUGUCCUAGAAUUUCCGGAAGACAGGGAGCCUAAAUUAGCGUGCAGUCUACCACAUGUCACUAAAAAAGUAAAAAUACAAUACACGCAAAAAAUCAAAUUGUGCACUGAGUAGUAGCUUGUUCCUAGCAAAACAACAAAUAACCAACAACCAAGAGAUGGGAAUUUAGGGAGAAGUGCGGACAGUAUGUUUCUAUGCGUUGCUAUGAUUAUCAUUUGACAUGUGUUACAAGACCUAGCUAAUUUGUGAUCUUGAAGAGUAAACAUGUACCAGGCUGCAAGAUGGAAAGGGGCUUCUUUUGUUGAAUACAUGUGCCAUCAUUUGAGGAAGAGGUGAUUAAACUUGUGCCGAUUGGACAAACAAUUUAGGGUAUAUAAUUGAGAUGCCGUCAGCGUGGCCAAAUGAUCAAAUGCAAGUCUAGUUGAGGAUAGAGUCAAUUUACCCCAUACCAUAACCGGCCCUCUUUUCUUAACCUAGAUGUGGACUUGCACCCAAAUUAUUCAGGAGCAACACGUGUUCAGUUCCAACAUUCACUCUAAGCAUGAUCGAGACGUACUAACGUAAAUCCGUGUACUAAAUACUAUAGUGCGUACUACUCCCUCCGUUCCUAAAUAUAAGUCUUUGUAGAGAUUUCAGUAUUAACCACAUACGGAUGAAUCUAGAUGCAUUUUAGAGUAUAGAUUCACUCAUUUUGCUCCGUAUGUGGUCCAUAGUGGAACCUUUCCAAAGACUUAUAUUUAGGAACGGAGGGAGUAGGUUCCGACUGAAAAUUAACCAGUAUUACUAUUUCUUAGCGAAUGAAAGAAGCUAGUCGUCAUUACUCACGGAGGAAGCAUGUUUCGAUACUUGAUGAAUCCACAGCAAACCGGUCUCGAAUUUCAAAUACGCAGUAAGAAUCUAGCGGACAGGGGGCAAAGCGGACCUACGGAGGGCCGGAGAACGGAGAAAGGCGGCGCCGCCCGCCCGCUGCGGCCUUGGACGCUGCCGCCGGGACGGAGCGCGGAGGCCAGAGGGGCACGGAACGAAGGCAGCACGCCGGAUGCCUCCGCCGCCGCGCCGCCGGCCGCCGCGGCCGUGCCGUGUCUAGGGUUCCAAUUUAGCGGAGGAAACGCCGAAGUGGUCUGCGACUCCCUCCGCCACCCGAGCGCACUUUGGGCGGCCCAGAGCGGGCGCCCCUUUUUUCUUUUCAUUUUUCCGUUUUUCUUCUCUCUUUUUGUUUUCGUACGUACAUCAUUAAAAAUCGUUUGGGAUUUACAAAACAAUCGAUCCCAAAUGUUUGGAUGUUUGAAUUACAAAAAACUGUUUUAUGAAUUUGGUAAAAAUCAUUUGAAUUGCAAAAAUGUUCACAAACUCGAUUUUUUUAUAUAUUUUAAAAAACUUCACAAAUUUUAAAAAUAUACCCGGGUUUAACAAAAUUGUACAUGAAUUUGAAAAAAAUCAGGUUUUUACAAAUGUUCAAGAAUUUGAAAAAUGAUCCCGCAUUUCCAUGAAUCUAAAAAAUGUUCUAAGGGUUUUAAAAAUUAUUCACAAAUCUGAAAAUUUUAUUCCUCCAUUUUUUAAAUGUUCACAAAUUUGAAAAUGGUCCUAGAUUUCAAUAAAUGUUAAAAUCAUAAAUGUUUGUGAAUUGGAAAAAUGUUCCUGGAUUUCAAACAAUAUUCGUGAAUUUUAAAAUUGUUCCCGUAUUUAAAACAACAUUUCAAAUUUCAAUAAAUAUUCACAAAUUUUGAAAUUGUUCCCAUAUGGAAAAAAGGAAAACCACAAAUGAAACAAGAAAAAACAAAAUAUAAAAACACAAGAGUAAAAAAUUACCCGAUCUAUAUAGAACCUUGUCAAAACCGGAAGGGAAGUGUCCUUAAACAGUUCUACCGAUGACUAAAAUGGGUCGACCCAGAUAAGAGAGGAUGCGACGCGGGGGUACGCGUUACAUGUCUAUCCACCGAGCUACACACUAAAAUGGUCAUGAUUGUCUCACUUCACCAGGUUUUCGAGCUCCAAUGACGUGCUUGUUUGCUCUUCUGCUUCCCUUGACCUUCCUCUUCACCCUCGCCUUUCGUCUAUGGUGCCUAUAAGCUAGUCUUUGGUUACCCUUAAUUCGCAAUAGCAACCUUCGAGUUUCACAGCUUCAUGAUUGAUGUAAGCUAUACCGAGAAGACCAACACAAUGUUUUUUUCUCUUCUUUUGACUUUUUUCUCAAUACAUCAUGAUAAAUGGCAUUACAAUAAUUUUGGAGUACACAAUAUAUCUAUUUUUACUUUUGUUUUUUUGUCUAUGGAAAUGGAUCCCAAAACCUCCAACCACCUAGAUAGGAGUAUUCGGAGUAGAAUGAAACCAAAUCAUAGCGACUAAAUCAUGGGGUGGGGUCUUUGCCGAAGCCCAUGAGAACAUGAGUGAGCAGCAUGGCUCCCCGGCGGCUCGUCUGCGCCAGCCGUCCCAACAACGGGAAGCUCACCGUCUCCCUGUUCUUGAGAGGCUUCUUGUCCCACCUGCAUAUGCAUUAUAACAAUUAACACACUAACUAGCUAGAUGGUAGCAUCUCGAUGAUUAGGUUUGGUGACAGAAAACAUCGAGCUUGUUGUAGCUUACCAGUCCUGGUGCCUGACGACCUUGCCAUCCUCAACGUCGAGUGUGAUGAGGGACUCUAGGUCAACAUCCUUGCCAAAGACCUUGUAGUGUUGCUUGUUGUCUAUCAGUAUCUGCAGUCAUGCACCACCCAUUGUAUUGAUAUUCCGAUCACGUUUGUAAAGUAUGUUCAUCGUUACUAUACAAAGUAUAUGCGUGGCUACGAUCGAAUGCAGAAGGGUGAUGUCCAAAUGAGUUGAUUACCUGGGAUUUCCCCGGUCCGGUCGCGUUUUCCUUUAUCGUGUACUCUACGAUCUUGGACUCACCGAAUACCUGACGACGCACGAGUCUUUGGAUUAGUUUAUGCAAUAACAUCGAAUGUAUAUCAAAAAGAAAGAAUAAACACCCAUGAAUAAAGCAUAUGAAGGUGCAUAUGUACCUUAGGCAUCGUGUAGAAGGCUGAUUUGAUCUGCUUGACGCUGCGAUCAGAUCGAACAGAAUUCGAUUAAAGAAGGCACAUGGAUGAUGGAUCAUAUGGAGAAGAAAUUCAGGCAACAACAAACUCAAUUGCAUACCCAUGGGCACGCAUAAGCGGGUCCUCGAACGUGGCAUUGGGCGCGUACAUCUCGAAGUCCCGUGCCGUGGCGCAUGAUCCGUAUCUGCGGUGAUUUGCCAUGAGCGCCGCGGUGAAAGACUAUUGAAAAAAUUACAUAACUACGGAAUGAUUCGAAAAAUAGUGGAGCUGGAUAAUUAUGUAGGUAUAUAUAUAUAUACUCCCAAGUUCAUUGGAGAGAUAAAUCAAUUAGCAAUUACUCGUAUUUGACCGUGCAUGGUGAAUUGCUUGCUCAACUUAACUGAACAAUGAGCAAUUAUCAAUUACAGUAGCAAUUUGGCAGUGCAAGCUGAACUUUUGCGUUUCUGACAUUGAAUCGAAGCGUAUAAAUAAAGUUAAGCUGGGACGCAUGGACAACACAAGCAGAGCAAUAGAGCAGAGCAGAGGUUGAUUUGAGCAGUUAGUAGUUACAUGUUGAGGAGAUGCGGCAUGAUGCGCUCGGACACGCCCCCGCCCGCCGCCGCCUGCGUCGACGCCUUCGCUCCCGCGGCCGCCGCCAUGCCUGCCGUCGUCGAGAGCGAUCUCUGCCUCGCGGGCGCGAGGGCAGCAGAAGCAGCGGCUGCGCGGAGGAAGAGGGCAGACGGGGCGGACGGCAGGAGCAGUCGCAGUCGGGAGGCGGAGGUGGCGCAGAGAGCGGGGGAUGGCAUGCGAUGCGAGCAGACGCGCGCGCGGUGGUGAGGAGAGAAGGCGAAACAGGGGAGGGUACCUUGGCUAGCUAGUUGUAGACGAAAGGGAAAGGGUGGAGUUGAAAUGUACUAGUUGCAGUAGCAGAGCCGCGUCCGUUCCUUGGUUGACGGCGUGCGCGGCGGAGGACGGCGCCACGUCGGCCGGCCGAUCUGGUGGCGGGCACCGCCUCCACGACGCCGAGCGGCCACGGCCAACCUCGUGUUCGGGCCUAUCAGCUCGCUGACCGGGGGUUCUCAAGGCCUACUAAUAACAGGUGCAUCCCAUUCAAUUAAGCUGCGCUUUAGCUCGCUAGGCCUGGCAUAAUUUCAUGUUUUUUUGCUUUCUUUUUUUCGUUUGUACUUCCAAAUAUACUAAAUAAAUAUAUUACAAGCAACACUUUCCAUACAAAUAUUUGAAAAUAUAUUAACGUAGCAUUUGAAAAAAUGUUAAAUUUGUAUAAAGAAAAAAUGUUUCCCAUGUAUACACAAAUUUUAGAAUGUGUGUGAAAAAAAGUUGAUUAUAUAAUUAAAAAAUGUUUAUCAAGCCUUUGAAAAAUGUUGAAUAAGUAUAUGAAUUUUCUUAAUCAAGCAUUUGAAAAAGGGUUUAACGUUUAUAGACAAGGUGUUGACCAUGUAUUCAAAAAGUAUUUAACAUGUAUUUAGAAAAUCUUAAGCAAACAUUUAAAAAUGUUAAAUGUGUAUUAAAAAAAUCUUGACCAUGUAAUCAAAAAAGUCAAUGUUGUAUUGAAGUAAAAAAUGUUAAACUUGAAUUUGAAACAUUGUAAUCAAGCAACAAGCGUUAAAUUUAUAUAGGAAAAUUGUAGACCAUGUAUUAAAAAUUAGUUGAUCUUUCAUUUUCAAAAAUGUCCAUCAUGCAUUUGAAAAAAAAUGUGUAUAGAAAAAAUGUUGACUAUGCAUUAAAAUGUUAAUCUUGAAUUAAAUCUUUUUAAUUAAGUAUUUUAAGAUUUUAAAAAUGUGUAUAAAAAUAUUGACCAUGUAUUCUAUAAAUGUUGAACUUGUAUUGAAAAAUAUUAAUCUUUUACUUAAAGCGUGUAUAGAAAAAUGUUGACCAUAUAUUCAUAGACCGAGGAAGAAACAAAGAAAAAGAUACAAUAAUGAUGAAAACCAACAAAGAAAGAAAAUAAAAACGAAGAUAGAAAACCAGAAGUGAAAGAAAAGCAAAAACCCAUCAAAACCAAGAAAGAAACAAAGAAAUACAAGAAAAGGCAGUGAAAUCUGUGAAAAACAAAGAAAACAGGUGGAAAAUAACGUAGGAUUGAAGAAAACCGUUCAAGAAAUAGAGAAAACCGAGAAAAAGGAAACGAAAAGGGAAAAACCCUGGAAGAAACCACCAUGAGCGAUCAUCUCGAUCGGAAAACAACAAACGAAAAAACAGAUGAAAAACGGGACACCCUAGUUCUGUAGCGGGUGUGAAAAUGUGUCAGGCGAGACAGAAGAAACACCCGCUAUAAACAAGAUACAGCCUUUGCGGCGCCUAUACCUCGCUUCAGGUUGGAGCGCUCGCCUCAAGCGCAUACGCGAAUGGUCCGGCCAAGCGCGGGGGGCAUGAAGCUCUCAUUUUUUCGCGUUUUUGGUUUUUGUGUUCUGUUUUCAUUUUUUACUUUUAUUUAUAUUUACAAAUAUAUAUAAAAAAUUAAUGUUAAUCAAGCAUUUAGAAAUGUUAAACAUGUAUAAAAAAUGCUUCUAAUGCAUAAAAAAUGCAGAAUGUUUAUGAGAAAAGUUGACAUCAAUAUAUACGUUUGAAAGUAAUCAUGUAAUGGAAAAAUGUUAACACGUAUGUAAAAAGAUAUUUUUAAUGUAUAAAAAUGUACAAGGUGUGGGGAAACAAGUAGACAUCAAAAAUAAAUAUUUUAAAAAUUGUUAAUCAUACAUUAGAAAAAUGUUAAACAUGUAUAUAAAAAAUGAUGCUGAUGUAUAAGAAAAAUGUAAAAUGUGAUUCAAAAUAUUUGUUUGAGAAAAAAUGGUAAUCAUGUAUUGAGUAAUGUUAAAACGUAUAUCAAUUUAUUUUAUAUGUGUACAAAAAAUGUAUAAUGUGUGUGAAAAAACAAAUCGGCAACAAAAGAUAUAUUUCAAAAAAUCUUGAUAAUAUAUUUGAAGAAUGUUAAAGGUGUAUACCAAAAAAUUUGACUUGUGUAUUUGAAAUAAUGAUGACCAUGUAUUCAAGAAAGUGUUCAAAAAACAUGUAUCAAAAGAAAACACUAUCUGAAAAAAUGUUCGACGUGUAAAAAAAAUACAUUGUGUAUGAAGAUAAAAAAAUGUAUAUUGUGUACCAAAGGAAAUUACACAUGUGUAUGAAAAGAACAACGAUAGAAAUAGACAAAGAAACAUAAAGAAAAGCAAACAAAACGUAAAGAAAAAAGGAAGAAAGAUCAUAAGACUACACAUGUCGUAGAUUUCCUAAACAAUAUGUGUUACCUAUGUAGGUCUUGAGAUCAUGUUGCAUGGGCCCUUAAAUUGGACAACACGUAUAGAGUUCACCAUAGUAUAACAACUUACUAUACAGAUCAUAAGACUACAAACACAAAUGACGACAUAUAGACUAGGCACAAAUGAAUCUUACCACUCACCUACAUCUCCCACGCCGAGGGGAACUACUCACGCAUCAUAAGAAAAUAACCAAUCAUCUCAGGGGAUAAAACCAACAGAAAUCAUAUCAAUAACACCCGGAAGAUCCACAAUGAAAUGAAUGAUCCAAAUAGUCUUGAUCUCCAGAUGAGUGUGAAUAAAUUUUACAACUUGUUCUUACAAAUUGGAAUUCCUCUUACAAUAGUGAAGGAUGAAAUGAUGAUGGACAUGAAAGGACCAAAACUAAGAUCUCCGAUGGUUCUCCGGACUUCUUCUCUCUCUGUUCUGGUUGUGGUGGCGGCGGCUAAGGUUCUCCACUAUGUCUUUCCCCUUCAUGAGAGUGUCUCGUAUAGAUGUUGUGGAGCUCCUGGUGCCUCAUACGACCAUCCAUGUGAGUGGGUGUGCUCGCAUGGAAGGUUGUCUUUUGCUCUGCCGCACCUGGUGGCUUGGCCUCUAACACGGAAGUUGCUCCAUUUCAAUUAAAGGUCUAGUGGCUUGAUCAUUCUCCUUGGUUUCGUUCCAUAUAUUAUAUUUUCUGCCAAACAACGGAAAAACGGAGUUUCUUCUCAUUUGAAGGGUUAACGUUAGAAAUAACCGAGAAGAGGUAUGAAUCCGGUGAAAACCAAGUAAAAAUCACUUGCAAAUAAUCACAAAUUCUCGAUCCAUCAACUCCCUCAAGGUUAAAACUAGCUCGCCCUCGAACAACUAAGAAAUCAAGAGAAUGAAGUCGAUAUUCUUAUAAGAACAAAUGUGAACAUGAGUUUUGGAAGAGAAGAAAACAUGAUACUCAAACAUUUAUUCCUCCAAAUAAUUAUAUCAAUCGGUAGCAUCAAGACAAUCAAAUUUAAUACUAUGUAGUUGAAGAGCUUGGGUGAUGGUUCUCUUCGAAAAUCCGAGGCAGUAAGUAUUUCAAAUUUUGAUUUUUGGAGGAAAAUCAUGCUUCACAACAAGUUUCACUUGCAUAUGUGAUGAGAGGUACGAACAAAUUUAAUGCAAACUUAUUUUUUCGCUCUUCCAGUCCUAAUUUUUUGAAAAAUUCCGCGGAAACCGUAUCAUAUAAUGUACUAACUUGUUUUUUUUCUUCUAUCUUAGUGCCCACUAAUUAUGAUUCAUGUAGUUUUUCUCUUCAGAUCGAUUCAAAUGGGGUCGGCCAAACAUGCUUGAGUCGUAGAGCGAAUUAAAAUAAAUAAAAAAGUUAUACCAAACAUUUGUACUUAUUUAAGUGUAUUUUUAUUGUACUAGAACAAUGCCCGUGCGUUGUAAUGGGAUAUAAAUAUUCUAAUACGUUGGCUUGUGGUUUAUCUAUCAAUAAUAAUGCUAAAUGUUCAUCAAAUUGACUAUGAAUUACCUUAUAUUUUGAUUAAUAGUUUGGUAAGAAAAUUAACGUGAAAUUGGUUCAAAAGGUAAGUAAAUUAAGGUGAUUGAUUAUCAUAUACAUGGAAGGUUGGACGAAGGGAUGGUGGAAAGAAAGGUGAAAUGGGAACCUUACAUUCUUUUUAAAUAUUAGAGAGUAGAGAUUACAGUGUUGGCGAGUAUAAUUUCUAUCACGUAGUUCACAUAGUUAAGCAUAUAAUAGUAUUUUUGUGUGUGCAACCACGUAACAAUGUUGUUAAAUAUUAAUUGUAGUGUUCUCUGUUAUUAGUUCGAAUGUAUUUUACUUAAAGCUUCAUUUCAGCUAAAUUUAAAUUGUGUGAUUCAAUAAAAUUAACCUUCCAAUUACUUUUGACAAAUACAUACUUCAUAUGAUGCAUAUGUAUAUUUUUUAUGCGUAUGUCUUCAUGUAUAUUAUAUCAGUAACUAUCUUGGUUGCGAUCUCUAAAGUGUAAUAUCUUUUACUAAUGGUUUCUAAUGUAUUGUUAGGUAAACAAAUGUAUAGAAUAUUCUAGAGUAUAAAUUGAAUUGUUUGUAAAUGUGAUACAAGUUAUGUUCAGCAAUAAGUUCACAAUAUGUGCAUGCUAUUUACAUGACAUUGAAAUACUAUCGAUUACCGGCGAGCAUAACAUGUUCCCGGUUCAAUUUUGCAUACAUUUUUAUUUUAUUUUUUAGUCUUAUCUAGAAGCCUGAUUUCUUCUUAUGUAUGUAGGCCCUCCUGCUAAUUUUCAAAAAAUAAAAGGUUUUGCACAAAAUUAAACACAGUAAGCUAGUUAAUAUAAAUUUUAGUACAACUGGCCGCACGUCUAUAUAUGUGAGAGACAAUGGUAAGCUCACUAAAUUUAUUGUCUCCUACAAGAUAUGGUUGUUCCUAUAUGGUAACAUCAUUGGUUCGUUGUGUGGACUUGCUCCUACAAAUUUUGGACUUUAAUUUUUUAAGUUUAUACUACAGUAAUCUUUUAGAUUUAACGAUAGUAGUAUACGGCCCUACUCCCCUGAGGCUCGGAGUGGUCGCCCUUUUUGCCCGGCCUAGGAUCCAGAUCUUAAACAAGAAUCAAGUUACAUGGAAGUGCAAAGCCAAGUCCACACACCUUCUCCAUUCUCACUAGUAUAAUUAUCAUGAGGCACCAAACAAGGGGUUGGGAUUAAAAGUCUAUUUUCCACAUCUAAAUCCCCUAGCAAACUCUCACCAUCAAGUCCCAUUCUGUUACAAGCAGUAUAAAAUUUGUCAUUAAUUUAAUUCCUCUCAUUAGUACGUACAGGAGCAGAAUAAACAUGCACAUGCAUUUCUUCAAAAGCAUGCAGACUAGUUCCAAUAAGGAACACAUCAAUAGCAGAAAACCAUUUAUAAUUAGAAUGCAAAGAACAACAUUACAUGAAGCGCUAGAACUGUCUACCAGGCUAGUGUCGACAGAGCAGUAAUACACGUACAUUAACAAAGUGCUACAGAAGCUACCGCACACAACAGACGUGGCUAAACACACUAGUGGCAGGAAAAACAGAACGUACUAUAAAACACUAGAAGGACCUUGUAUGAAAACGGCUAGAGCAUAUACAGAUUAAUCUAGUAUGAGCAAAGACCAGAUGCAACUUACAGACUAGACGUCGUUGCACUGGUGUUCGUCGAUGGAGUUUGCCGGAGACGAUGUUGUCGUGGACGUCGCCGAAGCAGCGGUCAUCGAGGACGUUGACGAAGGAGCGGUCGCGUGGACGCUGCCCAGAAAACUCUAGACCGCCCCCGUGCAGGGUAGAAGGAUGCGGUCGGAGUCACGGAGACACCACUCGCGGGGUUGUCAUUGCACGGUGGACAUCACAACCGGCUUCGUUCAGAAGGUUGCUCAGCACAAUGUCUAGUCGUUGCUUGAAGGAAUGCAUUACUACAAAUUCAAUGCUCUCAAGAUGUUGAAUGCAUUACGAAGAAAUGGACUGAGUACACAUUCAGUGCUCUCAAAAUGGAGAUUUUAUACAAGCAUUGCUACAACAUGUACAACCAGCCGCUCGAGGAUGACCCGUGAGCGCUACUCAUUUCUUUCUUUAUGUGCACAGCCCGCACGCUAAAUGUCCUACCUAACCCCUACUAUGGUUUUGUGUUUGCUCAGUACUCAGCUCGCAAAGGCGUGUCAGACCACAAAUUUCUUGCAUGAGGUCCUAAAGAGCAAAUACUUUCCACAAGAGACAUAAAUUAAGUUGGUCGUGACAACGUCAUUUCGAAAAGAAUCUGUUCCACAUGAAACAGAAACCGAUCAAGAGGUAAGUUCUAAAAGUGGUUGGUUAUCUAGACAGUACUAAGCCAAAUCUAUUUAGCAGUGGUAGUUUCUAAAUAAUAGUAAACCAAAUCUACUCAUCAACACUAGAUUUUGGCCAAUCUAUAUCUAUACCUACUAAUAAAGCAAGGUGCAUUUCUCCAAUUUUCCAUUCGUUCACCACCGAAAAUAUUCUUUUAAUAUCUGAGGUGGUACUAAAUUUUUGUGGUCCAUCUACUAGGAAAAAAAGAGUUCUGUCCAGAAUUUUGCACGUGGGCCCACCCGCGCUAAGGCCCAGAGAAUCCACCCAUUUAUAUCCUGCCCACGCAGCAGGGAAACCAUAUUUCUCGCACAGGGCGGCACAUAGUUUGAACUUCGCAUUGGUCGCCUAAUGUUGGGCCGACCCAUUUUCUAUUUUUCUGUGUUCUUUUCCUACUUUCUUUUUUCUUUUUCCCUUCCAAGUUAUUUUUUCGUUUUCCCUAUAAAUUUGUUAUUUUUAUUUUUAUUUCAUAAUUUCGUUUUUUUAAACAUUUUCGUUAAAUCUUCAGAAUUUCAAAUUUUGUUCUGAUUUUCAUAAAUAUUUGAAACUUUAAUCUUUUUUCUCGUUCCAAAUUGGUUCAAAAUUCAAAAAAUGUUCAUAUUUCUUAAUAAAAACCAAAAUUGUUUGAUAAUUUUAAAAUAAAUUGUAUUUUUUAAAAUAAUAGAAAUUCAAAAAAUAUUCCUUUUUAUUGAAAUGUUAACAAAUUCAAAAUAAUGUUCAUGAUUAAAGCGUGUUUCUGAAAAUGGUUUUGAAUGUUCAAAACAAGUUUCCAUUUUCAAAAUUGUUCACAAAUUCAAAAAAUGUCCGUUUCUCGGCCUUAAAAAUGGUUCCUGUUUUCAAAAAAUGUUUGUGAAAUUAAAAAAGAUCUUCCUAUUUCAAAUUUUGUUUGCCUUUUUCCAGAAAUUAGCAAUUUUUUUCAACAAAAUGCUCGUUUUUUAUAAUAAAAUCAGAAGGCCACCACAACCUCGACAAGGAGGUGGACCUGAAGGGAAAAAAGGCACGAGUUGGGUAGUGGCCGCCACUCCGACCAUCCCCACUACUAUAAAGAUCUCACAGGCCAAACAUUACCCGUGAAAACACUACAGCUCUACGCUUUGUUGCCCCACUGUUGUGGAAACCGUUUUGAUGGACACAUCAAUUAUCUCUCCCGAUGCUUCUCACAAAAAAAUCUCUCCCGUUGCAACGCAUGGGCAUAUGUGCUAGUAUAAAUAAAUUCAUGUGGGUUGGGGGGAGGGGGCAAUGCCCCCCCCCCCCGCCCUCAACAUAGCUCCGCCACUAGGGAGGCGUCGAUUAGGAGGUAUCUAGUUUACCAUACCCUCCUGAGAUUCCAAGAUGAUGCUUUUCGUUAUUAUGUAGAUCAAAGCCACUUUGCUUGCUAUUCGUAACACAAGACGCCUGCCAUGGCCCACGGACCAUGAAAUAAAAGCCAAUGCAGAUAUUCUUCACUGGCUCCAAGCAACGGUUGGGUUUCAGCUAACCUUUUGCUUUCAUUACUAGUAAACAUGCAUGUGCGUUGCAACGAGACAAACAAACUCUCGCACCUAGUGAGUUUGCGAAUAUUCAAAGUCGUGGACGAGCUCGCCUGGUCUUGGUAUCGUGAGGCGUCGACUCGUUUCGGGAUACCGGACGCCAUGGUAUUCUAGGUCGUGUACAGGGGCUUAUGUAAUGCAUAUAUUGGACCAAAGAGACGACGUUGUACAGUGGAUGGCAAGGAACGUUGCAGAGCUAGUGACGGUGUUUUGGUUCUGUGUACAAUAUAUUUUGGAGGGUUUGGCUGGUAUGGUCGUUGGGGCUGAUCACAUAUAGGUCUGCGAAACAAAAGCAUAUACUUUUUAUUAGACUAGAACAAUGUCUGUGCGUUGCAACGGAAUAUAAAAAUUCUAGUUAUGUUAACCUGUGAUUUACCUGUCCAUGAUAUACGAUUGUGUAAAUAAAUGUUCAUCAAAUCCCGCAUGUGAUUUACCUUAUAUUUGGUCAGAAGUGAUUUACAUGCCUAUAGUAUGCGAUUCCGUAAAUAAAUGUUCAUCAAAUUCUGCCAGUGAUUUACCUUAUAUUUUGAUCAGAAGUUUGGUAAGUAAAUUAAAAUGGAAUUGGUUCAGAAGGUAAGUAAAUUAAUACGAUUGAUUAUUAUACGGGGAAGGUUGGACGAAGGAGUGGUGAGAAAAAGGUGAAACGAGAACCUUACGUCCUUUCAAGUAGUAGAGAUUUAGCUUAUAUUUUGAUCAAAAGUUUGGUAAGUAAAUUAAAAUAAAAUUGGUUCAGAAGGUAAGUAAAUUAAUAUGAUUGAUUAUUAUACAGGGAAGGUUGGAUGAAGGAGUGUGAGUAGAAAGGUGAAACGGGAACCUUACGUUAUUUUUAAGUAAGUAGAGAUUUAGCUUAUAUUUUGAUCAAAAAUUUGGUAAGUAAAUUAAAAUAAAAUUGGUCCAGAAGGUAAGUAAAUUAAUAUGAUUAAUUACGGGGAAGGUUGGACGAAGGAGUGGUGAGAAGGAAGGUGAAAGGGUAACUUUACAUUCUUUUUAAGUAGUAGAGAUAGAGAAGUAGAGAUUUAGCUUGUAUUUUGAUCAGAAGUUUGGUAAGUAAAUUAAAAUAAAAUUGGUUCAGAAGGUAAGUAAAUUAAUAUGAUUGAUUAUUAUACGGGGAAGGUUGGACGAAGGAGUGGUGAAAAGAAAGGUGAAACGGGAACCCUAUAUUCUUUUUAAGUAGUAGAGGUAGAGAUAGAGAUACUAUAGUAAUCUUUUAUAUUUAACGAUAGUAGUGUACGGCCCUACCCCCUUGAGGCUCGGGGUGGUUGCCCUUUUUGCCCGGCCUUAGGAUCCAGAUCUUAAACAAGAAUCUAUUUACAUGAAAGUGCAAAGUCAAGUCGGCACACCUUCUCCAUUCUCACUAGUAUAAUUAUCAUGAGGCACCAAACAAGGGGUUGGGAUUAAAAGUCUAUUUUCCACGUCUAAAUCCCCUAGCAAACUCCCACCAUCUAGUCCCAUUCUGUUACAAACAGUAUAAAAUUUGCCAUUAAUUUAAUUCCUCUCAUUAGUACGUACAGGAGCAAAAUAAACAUGCACAUGCAUUUCUUCAGAAGCAUGGAGACUAGUUCCAAUAAGGAACACAUCAAUAGCAGCAAACCAUGUAUAAUUAGCUUGCAAAGAACAACAUUACAUGAAGCGCUAGAGCUGUCUACCAGGCUAGUGUCGACAGAGCAUAGGGCGCUGAACACACACUAGUGGCAGGAACAACAGAACAGACUCUAAAACACUAGAAGGACCUUGUAUGGAAACUGCUAGAGCAUACACAGAUUAAUCUAGUAUGAGCAAAGACCAUAUGCAACUUACAGACUAGACGUCGUUGCACAGGUGUUCGUCGAUGGAGUUUACCGGAGACGAUGUCAUCAAGGACGUCGACGAAGGAGCGGUCGUCGAGGACGGUGACGAAGGAGCGGUCACAUGGACGUUGCCUAGAAAACUUUAGACCGCCCCAUGCAGGGUUGAAGGAUGCGGCGGAAGUCACAGAGACACCGCUCACCGGAUUGCUGUUGCACGCUGGACAUCACGAUCGGCUUCGUUCAGAAGGCUGCUCAGCACUAGUGGUGCACGAGAAAGAAGAUGAAGAUAUGAUGUGUUUAUCUCCCGAUUCUCUCUGCACUUUUAGCAUAAUUGGUUUGAUGCCAAAAGUUGGCAUGCCAAAUUUUAGCAGAUGCCAAAUAUUGGCUAGAGAUUGGUUGCUUGCCAAUUUUCAUUGUCAAUCUCACAAAAAAUUGCCAAAUGUUGGCAACUUCUAAUUUUACCAAAUGUUGGCUUGCCAAAUAUUGGCAAUGCCAAAUGUUAGUAGCAAACCAAUUAUGUACAGAUUAUGCGAGCAACGUUUUAAUGAAACGUCUUGCCGAGCGAAGAGCGUUGCACUCACACGUCCUGGUUGAGGACCCAGGGAGGAGUUGCAGCUUGACGAACGGCCAGCAACGUGCGUGCAUGGAGUUUCAGUUUGUUACGUGACAGGAUAUGCUCAAGCAUUUUGCCGCAAAAAAAAAAAAAGGAUAUGCUCAAGCAUCAGACUGGGAAUUAUCUGAACUGAUGCAUGUGUCCAUGCAAUAUUUCCAACUCAUUUCUGUUCCCUAAGAGUAUGAAACACGCAGUGAAGAAUGCAGUGCAUAGAUUUGAGUUUUCCUUUUUUUUUAAUAGGAGUACUUCUUAAGCAUGAAAUAUGUUCUACUCCCUCAGUUUGGAAUUUUCUUGUUAGGAAUAUAAUAGUAUUAGUAUUUGGCUAAUUAGGCGAUUAGCAGAUUCUUUAGAAUAUUCUAACCGGUAGUUAGAAUCCUGGCGUUGUCCAGACGCAGUAGAUAGCGAACCAUCGCCAUGUUUUUUUCAAACCAGCGUUGUGUCUUUCCGAAACGACGCGAACCUUGUAAUCGGCAUGUAAACACGACGGCUCGGGACAUAUAAGUACCUGCAGUCACUAUCAAUGAAAUCAAUCCUUUCACUUCAAUCUUUCUUGUUUCUCUUCAUUUCUCAUCUAUUUCCGUGACAAGUAAUUGAGGGAGUCGGUGGCUUUGCUGCAAAACUGAAGACUGGCACAAGAUCCGUGUACACGGCGUAGCACAUUCCGGGACGAUACCGCAUAUGUGCGAAUGUGCGAUUACUUAUCAAUCCCGACCCCAUUUGCCUCGUCUCCUUUCUUCUUCUUAUUAAAAGCCAUUUUGGUUACGGAUGGAUAUGAGAAGAAAAAUUUAGAGCCUUGCGUGCCCACACCGCCCUUGACCACACCCCACCACCAACCGCCCUCCCCUUGGCGAUCCCCACACACUUGCCCAACCAACCACACUUGUCCCACGCCUCUCCUCCUCCUCUCCUCUCGCCUUGUACGAGUCUCACCUUGCUGCGUCCAUCCACCCACCGACCAUCCACCACUUCCCCCAAAGUCUCCUCCUUUCUCCCUUCUCAGCCAAGCAACCAAGCGAUCUCGCCGAUGAAGAGGGAGGGGUUCCAGCACGGCGCCGUCCGGGUCAACCGCAACAAGCUGCUGCGGGUCGCCGGCGGCACCAACGGCGACGCGGCGGCCGCGGCGCUGGAGCUCGCCGGCGUCGCCUACGCCAGGGCGCCGUCCAAGCCGACCAACGCGUCCAGGGACACGGGCCGGUGCCGGCGGCCCCGGUGCGCCGGCUGCCACGUGCACCCCGCCGCCAAGGCCCGGGACAAGGCCAAGGGCGCCCACAAGCUGCGCGCCUCCGACGUCGCGCUCAACCACCGCCUCGUCUCCUGGCGCCUCGUCGACGGGGACCCCGCCGCCGCCGCCGCCCGCACCGGCGGCGUGCCCGACUACAAGGGCGCCUCCGCGUCCGCCGUGCUCGCCUACCUCGCCGGCGGCAACAGCUGGCACGCCGAGGACGAGGAGGAGGACGAUGACGGCGCAGAUCUUCAGGCCCCCCCAAGGGGGAUCUCCGACCUGUACGACCUCAUCGUCGGCCUCCAGGCCCGCGCGGCCCCUGCGCCGGGCGGCCCAGAAGACGAC